Molecule: long non-coding RNA, 500 nt
Filed under: Homo sapiens (human)
Lineage: Eukaryota; Metazoa; Chordata; Mammalia; Primates; Hominidae
Description: non-protein coding TTTY14:15
Source: RNAcentral
GUUCAGUAUCAUAAAGAUAACAUCUCAUCCAGAGGAAAGUGCCACAGCAUGUUCCGAAGAGAUGAUUGGAAGAUGGAAGUGGAGGGUUAAAUAAUGAAAUGCAGCUAACAUUUCGGAAAGUUUCUAAAAGUUGUACAACAUGCCCUACAGCUACUCUUUAAAUCUCCAAAUCAAAUGAGUUUCAGGUGGAGCCUCUGGGAGGUGAUGAGGUCAUGAGAGUGGAGCCUCAUGAAUGGGAUGAGCACUCCUACAAAAAGGAUUCCAGAGAGCUCGCUUGCUCCUUCCACAGUGUGAGGACACAGAGGGAAGGCUCUGUCUAUGAAUGAGAAAGUGGGUCCCCACCAGACAUUGAAUCUGCCGCAUCUUGAUACUGGACUUCCAGUCUCCAGAACUGUGGGCAAUAAAUGUCUGUUGUUUAUUACCUGUCCAGUAUCUUUGGUAUUUUGCUAUAGCAACCCAAAUGGACUAAGAAAACACCAGAGGCCAUACCUAAUAAAAAU